RNAcentral lists this long non-coding RNA (431 nucleotides) under Parus major (Great Tit). RNAcentral's name for it is "lncRNA (ENSPMJG00000007410.1)". The record is from RNAcentral. Lineage: Eukaryota; Metazoa; Chordata; Aves; Passeriformes; Paridae.
GGAUACCCUGUCAUCAUCCACAGGACUGCAAAUCAAUUUGGAUCUUCUUUGUAUGCUGUCACCUCUGUGAAAAAUCAUGUUUUUUUUUCUGGAUCUAUGAGGGAUAUAUAAUUAUUGAGGCAAUAUUAAGACUAUAAGAAGUGACUGUUUCUGUGGGGCUGCUGGCACAAAGUUCCCAGGAAAAGCACAUGCCUGACAGAGCUGCUGUAACCCAAAGAAACCUAGAUGGUGGCUGAUGAGGAACGACACCUGAUAAAUAACAAAAGCUUGUUUUAAGUUUAGUUCCUGUGGAAUGAAGCUUCAAAAUCAAAUGUAAGAAAGAAAGAUCAGAGUGUAGGAUGAGUGGAGAACAGAAGCAUACACCGCCUCUGAAAGAGGGGAGAAAAGGGCAUCUUGAACCAUUUGUGAAAAGAAAAGGAAGAAAUUGUUAA